UACGUAGGGUGCGAGCGUUAAUCGGAAUUACUGGGCGUAAAGCGUGCGCAGGCGGCGCGUUAAGACAGGUGUGAAAGCCCCGAGCUUAACUUGGGAAUUGCGCUUGUGACUGGCGUGCUGGAGUGUGGCAGAGGGAGGUGGAAUUCCGCGUGUAGCAGUGAAAUGCGUAGAGAUGCGGAGGAACACCGAUGGCGAAGGCAGCCCCCUGGGCUGACACUGACGCUCAGGCACGAAAGCGUGGGGAGCAAACAGG
This 253-nucleotide ribosomal RNA is filed under the name uncultured bacterium. RNAcentral's name for it is "partial 16S ribosomal RNA". It matches the Rfam family "Bacterial small subunit ribosomal RNA", at positions 524 to 776 of the family's 1533-position model. The record is from RNAcentral.